This 491-nucleotide long non-coding RNA is filed under the name Bos taurus (domestic cattle). RNAcentral's name for it is "long non-coding RNA NONBTAT018619". Lineage: Eukaryota; Metazoa; Chordata; Mammalia; Artiodactyla; Bovidae. The record is from RNAcentral.
CCCACAGGGAUGGUGGGAGUAUUAAUUAACAUGACAUUUGAGAAAGCAAUGUGCAAAAUGAAGGUUCAUCUAACCUUUGAUGUAGCAGUUGCACUUGUAUGAAUUUAUGCUUUAGCUGUACCUACAUUCUUAGCAUUCAAAGGCUAUUUAUCAGCAUUGAAUAAGCAAAAUAUCUAUUUACUCCACCUAACAGUGCUCUGCCUUAACAGUGCUCUGCCUUCUCCCUGUAAAACAAAAUGAAUGCUGAUGACCUCUCAGAGCUAGUGGCUGCUUUUUCUUUAGUACACCCCUGACUGUGGUUCAUGAAUCAUCUAGGGCUUUUCCUAUAGUUUCUGGGUGACUCUUCAAACACUGAAAAGAAGGAAGCUAUAUCUACAUGUAUGCAAUAUGGAAAGAUAGUUUAGGUAUAUUGUAAAGGUAAGCAAUCUAUUUAUAGUAUAUUAUGUAUAGGAUGAUCUUAUUUAUGUUAACAAAAAGUCUUAAAUAGAUAU